Molecule: long non-coding RNA, 8033 nt
Filed under: Theobroma cacao (cacao)
Lineage: Eukaryota; Viridiplantae; Streptophyta; Magnoliopsida; Malvales; Malvaceae
Description: long non-coding RNA (TCAC_LNC001510)
Source: RNAcentral
AUUUGUUACCUUGAUUUGCUAAUGAAUAUUAAUUAAAUGAUUUGAUUUUUUCAUUAUAAUAAUAAUCAAUUUUCUUAAAAUCAUAUUUUUUUAAGAGAUAUUGAUGCUGAUAGGUGGAGAUUGCUCUGUCUUGCCUUUGGGAUUUCCUGGGUUAUUGAGUUAACUUCCCAUAAAAGCAUGAUAAGGCAUCUAAAACCUGUCAUGUAAAGCAAAUCCACAUUCCACCUUUGAUGUGACCAAGACCAGUAAACAACACAAGAUAAUGGACAACUGAAUCAAGAAUUGGAUCAAAGUGUAUUUUGUUGUCAAGAUGCUACAAAAAACAUAAACGAAAAAGAAAACAGGGUUUUCAAAGCAUCUUAACUGAUUUUAGAAAGAAUGGUAGGAGGCACAUCUUCUGUUUGGCAUGCUCCAAUAGAAUUCCAAUUUCUCCUUUGCAUUCGGAAGCAGAGCCUGAUUCUCAAAGUAAUCCUUGAUCCUGGUGAAGCCAUUGUUCAUUGAUUAGCAGCCAUUAGUCCUUUCAUAGAUAUUUAGUUUAAUGGAUAUUAAUAUUAGUUAUACUCAGAUUAAAAGAUAGUUUAAUACAUUCAUGUUAUUGAAUUGAAAAAAAUUUCUGUUUAGUCUUUUCUGGAAGCACAUACAGAAUGAUAUGAAAGUAGCUUGAAUGUGUCAAAUUAUAUUAGCAAUAUUUGCGAUUAUUCGCUUAUUCUAGCAAUGAUUCCUAUACUAGCAAUGGUUAAUGUUAGGAGUCUUAAUCUAUCUAUUUAUCUUCUAGCAGUCUUCUUCCUGUUUUUUGUCCGUCAAAAGAACAGUGGUUUACCGAUGUAUUCUUCGCUGGUCUUUUGCAGUUUGAUUAUAUUGUGUUUGGGCAUAUUGGUUCUAACUUCUGCUCAUUAUAAACUCCCUUUGCAGUACAAUACAUCCUUGACAUCAUAUUUGCAGAAGAGAUAUGUUGAUUUAAAUUAUAUCUGUUGUAGACAACCUUGGAUUCCCUGAUUUUGUUGAAGUGCUGGGAAGACUGAAACCUCUUGGUUUUGUCAACAUGCUUGUUUCUUGCUGCUGAAAGUAUUAGACUGCAUCAACACCCCUACAUUCCAUUCAUUUUCAAGUGUGGUAUGCUAAUUGGAAGUUUCCCUUAGGUGAAGGCAUUAAUUUUAUCCUAGUCAUUUGAUAAUGAAUAAUCCUGACUAGAUUUUUUGCACUCUAAAAUGUUUAAUGCAUUAGUUCAAGCAAUGCCUUCACUUCUGAUUGUAUAUAAGCUUGCAAAAUGAUAGCUUUUGGAAUGAAAUUGCUUCCAAAUGUCAUCAUUUUCUGAUGGAGCAGUGUAUUUAUGUUCGAUCCUUGAGUUUUGCUUAUAAUUUGUCAAUCACAGUUGUACAUUCACCCAUUACACUCUUUCCUUUGACUGUGGUUUCCCUUUUUGAGCAUUUAGACUUUACUUUCACACUUUAUUCCCCUUGACUAUAGUUUUCAUUUUUAGCAUUUAUACUUUACAUGAUUGGAAGAGUAAAAAAGAGGUGUAACAAAAUACUAGUAGAAAAUAUAGAUAUAUGUAAGGGAAGAAAAAUUGAUGUAGUGUAAAACAAGAGUACCCCUUUGCUAAGUAGGGUAGAAAAAUGAGAAAGUAAUGAACACUAGUAGUAUAUUAAUUAACUGUAUCAUCCUCUUCCUCAUAGGCUACAUGAAGCCAUGUAGAAGGUAACUUCAGGAAAAACAGGAAAAGAAAAAUUUGCAAAUUUUCAGAAUUUGUCUCAUCUUUAAUCUCUUGCCAAGCUUACUCCUUUUUUGCAGACCAUCUUCCAUGGUUCCAAUUUUCUCUGUGCCAGGCAUGGUCUUACUGAUACUCAUACAUUGAACUGUUUAACUCUAAUAUAGAAUUUAUCAGGGUAAAGGUUAUGGUAUGGUAUGACUACACAAAUGUCAUUUCCUAGUAUUUACAAACAAUGAUUUCUAAUGAGAAAACAGGUCAAUCAAGCUUUGAUUGAGUUGACAUUGACUCUUUUAACUUUUGCUUCUAUUCUUUUUUCUGAGUUGUCAAUUUGUUGAUUCUCAUAGCCAUAGUGAGCCUACUGUCAUUAUACUGAUCUAAAGCUAAGAUUCUCUCUUUUUUUUUUUAAAAUUUUUUUGGUGGGGGUGUGCUAUGAUCUGUUAUAGGUAUGCACAAACUCAACCAAGCCAGCUACUUAACCCCUCCCCAAGAUGAGAUAUAGGAAAAGGAAGAAGAAGAUUAGAAAAUAAGUUGGUAGGGGGAAGGAUUGCCUCUUGUAAAUUAGGAAAAUCACUUUCUAUACCAUCCAUUUCUAUAUCUAAAUUCUGGAUUUAUUAGCUCUUUUCGAAACCCUAAUUUCAAAUGAUUCAAGUAGUUUGUUUCUUCCUACAUUAAACAAUAGUAGUAUUCUUAAAGUACUAUAUCCAACAAAUGUGUUAAUUAGAGUGCCAUUUUUCACAUUUAUAUCAACUUUAAAAGAAAAAUCUUGUAAUAAGAAGAAAGAAUAAUAAAAAUAUAUGACAUGUAUUCGUUAUUUUUUUUAAGUGAAAGUUCUUUACUUAUAAAAACAGGAUUUAUUUUAUUUUUUAUUGAUAUAAGAUACGUAACAUUUUAUCUCAUUCAAUUGGAUAACAUAAUUAUCGUAUCAUAUUUAAACUAAUCCAGACCUUCAGCUAUUACAAUAUUUCUCCUGUACCAAUCCUUUUUUUUUUUAUUUUGUUGUGGCUGGUAGGUAGCUUAGCCAUUAAAGCUGGGGAUCCAAGAUUCAAGUCAGCUGGCAAAUCUCUUCCCUUCAAAAAAGGAUUAGAGGGAGUUCAUUCCCAUCUUCUAUGAAUGUUGAUUAAGAAUGAUAAUUCCAACAUAUAAUAUGAUUUGAAAAGAGACAUCUAUAUAAAUUGAUUAGAGUUUAAAAUUCAAUAUGAAAAUUCAAUUUAGAUAUCAUGUCUGUAUGCAUAAUUACAUCGAUUUUAAAACAAAUAUCUUUACUUUUGCAUAAAAAUCAAUCAUCUUUUUUAUUAAUCAUGUUAUAUCGUAAUCAAAUUGAAUGUUUUUACAUCGAAUUAGAUUUAGAUUUUAUUAAUAAUUUUACAUUGAUUUGACUUUUGUACGAAGUAAUUAUUUAAAAGUUUUUGUAUCAGUUACUUUUAUAUAAUAUUAUCGUGAAAUCGAUAGAUGAAUAUAUGAUUAAUUGGAGAAAACUAUUUUUUAAAAUUAGAGAAAAAUAACAGAUGGUCUUUGCUCAUGAAAAUGACUAUGAUUAGCCACUCAAAGCAUAUUUGAUUAGGGGAGGGGGGGUCUCAAUUAUGAUUAUGAAAUGGGACAAGGGAAGUGGGACCCAUGUUUGGAUUCAAAGACAAUUUUUGUGGGGCCGAGGAUUAGAUUUCCACGUGGGGUUGUUAUUCUCUGCUGUCAUGUCGUUUCCAUCAACUACUUCUCCUCCAACAGAGUACAAUCCUCGACAGCAAAACAAAUCAGCUCUCAAUAUUUUGCAUCACGCGUUUGCUGUUCUGUGGCUCGUUUAUUGGUCGUUGUUCUACACGCGCUUUUAUUCGUACGUUGAGUUCUCUUAGUUAUUUUUUGCCCGACGUGUGAUUUGGAUCCCACAUUCUCCGCUUUUUCUUUACCCAUUUUUCAUCUUCUUUUUAGCACCUUUUACUUUUUAGUGGCAUAAAGAAAUAAAAAUUCUAAUAUUGCGCAUUUUAAAUAAUUAUCCUAGAUAUUAAUUUUUGGAAAAUAAUUAUUAAUAUUAUUAUUCUCUGUAAUAUAAAUAUUAUCAAAAAAUUAAUUAAAAUUAAACUAGUUAUGAAAAAAAUUAAAAAUAUAUCAUUAAAUGAUUUUUUUGGUCGUAUGUAAUCUUAAGCUAUAUAAAAAGAGAUAAGUAUGUUAUUCUAUAAAUUAUGCUCUCUCUCUCUCUUUAUAAUUUGAACUCAAGAUUUUCAAAUGAAAAAGUUUAAAUAAGUUAUUAUUCUUUUAUUAUAGUUAAUCAAAUUUUUAUAUUUUUAUUUUAAAUCAAAUAGACACUUAUAUUUGUCGGUUGACUAAUUAUUAUUAAUGAAAAUAUCACUAGUCAUUUUUAUACCCAUUUGACACUAACAUGACGCUGACAUUAGGAAAAAAAAUAUCUCAUGAUUAUAUCAUCAUAUCACAUUAGUAUACUACAUCAUCAUCUAUUACGACAUGUUAACAUCAUGUGAUAUAAAAUGACAAAUGAUAUUUUGAUUAAGAAUAAUUAAUCAAUAAUUGAUUUUAAGGAUUUAUCUAGUUCAAAAUAAAAAUACAAAAACUUGAUUGAAUAUAAUAAAAGAAUAAACAAUUAUUUAAAUUUUUUUAAAUAGUUCAUAGACUUUUUUUAAGUAUUAUGCCAAAUAUCAUAUUUUUGUUACAUCGAAAUGUUUUUCGGAGACUAAAUUAUUAAGUUCCUGUGAAUUACAUCUUUCGACAAAAUAAAUUUUUAUUAGAAAAAAUGUAUGACUUAAUUAAGAUGAUUUUUUCCAUAUAUGUGAUUACAAUUAGCUCCAGAUCAUCCAUAUAAUGUCAAUCACAUGUCACAUUUGUUAUAAAGCAUUUGAGCAAAUGCAUAUGGUAUCCAUAUGGAUAUCACGUGUCACUUGAUCUCAUUUUUGGCAUGAUACAUUAUUUGAUCACAUCCCAUGUUGUCUUCUUCCAAAUAAUAAAUACACAUCAAUUAUAUGUCAAAGUGAAUACAAGCAAUGGCAUACAUGUGCAUGUCACGUGCUAGUUCAUUUCCUUUAUAAAUAUACAAAUAAUAAUUAUAUACUAUCAUUUAAUCAUAAAAUAUCUCGUAAAUUUAUAAAAUUAGAAAUUUAAAAUAUAUAAAAAUAAAUAAUUUUAAAAUUUAUUUUAUAAAUGAUAUGAUAAUGACAUUGUAACAAACAUGAACGUAUGAUGUAUUUCUCUUUGAAAUAAUUUGGACCAACCUUAAUUGAGUUUAGCACUUUGACUUUGAUGUUUUUUCAAUCACACAUCAAUUAUGUCAUGAUAAGAUUCGAGUGAACACAUAUAACAUACAUACAUGUGAACGUCACAGGUUAGUUGAUUUUCUAUUUGAUGUGAAACAAAUAUCUCACCAAAUUGUUUCCCUUUCAAACAUUUCACUCUUUAAUUGUGUUUCUCAUUUUAAUUUAUUUUAACCUUAUUUCUUUCAAAAUGCUCUUUUAUUAUUGCAUAAUAUUUAAAAAAAUUUUGAAUUAUUUUAAAAAAAUUCAAAUAAGUAUUAUCCUUUUAUUGCUUUCAAUUAAACGCUUAUAUAUUUUUUAAUCAAAUAAGUUUUUAUAAUUAAUGAUUGACUAACUAUUAUUAAUUAAAAUAUUUCUUGUCAUUCUAUGUUGCUUGACGUUAAUGUAUAACAUGUUGGUAUGUCAUAUGAUAAUAACAUGACAUACUAAUUUAACAAAAUGUUAUAGCAAUAUGAUAUUUUUCACUUAACAAGUUAUCGUCAUAUAGAUAUAAAAUGAUAUAUGAUAUUUAAACUAAUGAUAAUUAGUCAACCCGUAAUUAUAAAAGCAUAUUUGUUCAAAAAUAAAAAAACAAGAACUUAAUUGAAUGUAAUAGAAUAAUAAAAAUUUAUUUAAAAUUUUCUUGAAUAGUUUAUGAGUUUUUUCAAACAUUAUGCGAUUGUUAUUUUAUUCACUUUGACAUUUCAAAAAAAAAAUUAUUCAGUUUAUUCCUUUAUUCAAAUUCAUAAAAUUAAUUCAAACCAAAUUCAAAACUUUUAAAAGAUUGGAGAUGGGAUUUUUUUUAUUAUCAAAAAAUCGAUAUUUAAUCCAACUCUUUGAAUAAGAUACAUAUGCACUUAAUUAUAAUAAAAUGUUUUAAUUUUUUUUUCUCUUUAUUUGCGAUCCUUUUUGUCGAAGAAAAUGAAGGAGAAACAACUUUUCUUCCUCUCUUUUAUUUUUCUUUUCUCAUCUUUUUCUCUAAUUAUUAUUUUCUUUUCUUCAUGUAACAACUACAAUUUACCUAAUAUUAAUCAAUUUGGUAAACUAUAAUGUGCUAUUAAUUAGUUAACCCGGUUAAAUUAUACUCCUAACAUAAUUUCAUUGUCUAUUUCAUUUCUCUAUUAAUCAAAGGUGUUAGAAACAAACUUGAUGAAAUGUAUACUUGAUAUGCCAUGUGGAACUUCUAUGCUGGUACGGAGUAUCCCAUGCGACAAUACGAGGUAAAGAUGAAUUAAUUUUUCAUUCAACACAUGUCGUGUGACACCUCUCGAGGGAGUAUCAUUAAUAUAUAUAUUUUUAAUCAUAUUUAAAAUAUUUAAAUUCUGUUUGAUGGAUAAUUUUAUUCUUUUUACUUGAAAAAUCGUUAUAGUCAAAAACAAAGAAACAUAAAAUAAUAUCAUAAUUAAUUUAAGAUAGAUAAAUAACAAAAAAUAACACCUAUUUACAACAUAAUUAAUUAAUAUAAAAAAAUCCCAAACAAACAAUAUUCUCUCACAUGCAUAGAUAUGCCGUCAAUAAAAUCUACUUUAUCAGAAUCUGUGUAGGAGCACGGGUAAGGAUUAAUUAAUGCUUUGAUGAAAUCUGUUAUUAUCUAAAACUAAUCAUUACACUUUGAUUAUACAAUCCCACUUUCCUCUUUCAUCAGUCUUUAUUCUCCAUCAUCCAAAGGGACAUCCAAGAAUUAGUAUUUAUUAUUAUUAUUUUUUUAUCUUUCCCUUGGAUAUAAAUCGGGGUGAUCAGUUUUCUUCUUUUGGGUUUAGGGUUUUUAUUAGAUUUUGCUUCCUUCAAAUCAAAGAUGGAAACCCCAUUUCAAGACUGAAAUUUAACAGUUUAUGCAUUGCAUAAAGUGAAUGUUCAAGAAUUACCACACUGGCAUGAUCUGAUCUGGAGUCCCAUCAGUGCAGAAAGACUGAAAUUUUAAGGAAUCACCAAGCCCAAAAAAAAAAAAAGGGUCAAAAUUAGAAAUAAAAAAAAAAGUAAAUGGGGAAAGAGAGAACCGAAAAUAAGAUGAUUUUUUUUUUGUAAUUAAUUGGACAAAACAUGAGUAAGCUGAUAAGAAGUUGAGAAAUUAUGCUAAGAAGCAAAACUCUAAGACUAGUAUAAGAAGUUGAAAUGAAAUAAGUAAUUAACACUAUCCUUAAGUAUGCAAGCAAGUAAAAGAAAAGGAUCAAACUGUAGGUCUGGGAUGGAAAGAUAAAACUUAAGAUUCAGAUUCUUUCACUGAAUCAAGUUUUCAAGCACAAAAUUCACACCAUAUAAUUUCAAAGAGAAAAACUUGUUAUGGUAAGGGAGGAGGAGAAGCCAAGGAAAGGAGCAUAUAUAGUGAAAGAAAAUUAAGAAAAGAUGAUCAUUAUAUUUGAUAUACACAUAUAACAAAAAAAAAAAAAAAGGAAAGAAAAUCUAAAGCUAGUAGCAGGUAGCUUCCAAGCAGCAACACAUGUAGAGAUACUUCAAAUUUCUCCCCCCAUAUAUUUUCAGUCUUGCCAGCAGAGAAGCAUGAUAAUACAUCUUCUUAUUAUGUAAAGCCUACCUCUUUCUUCCCUAAGGAACCCUCCAAUUCCCUUGCAUGGACACCUCCUCUUAGACCCUCCAAUUGUAGAGUUUUUCAUCUUCAUCUCUUCUUUGUCAAUAAUGGAAUUUAUUUGCCUUUUCUUUUAAAUUCUAAUUGGUUGGCUUCAAGAAUUCAGUGAACCUUUUUUGCUCUCAGUUCUCUCUGCUGGAUGGAUGGAUCAUUCUUGGAGUUUGAAUGAGGGGCUUAGCUUUCAGUAAUGAUUGACUCUUCUCUUUUUUUGAGAGGUUUGCAUGAACUAGAAGAGCAGGAAAGAAAAGGGAGUGUUCUUAUAGGGAGGAGAAGGUAUGGUCGAGGCUCCACCUGGGCCCAAAUAAAGGAAACCGAAUGUGGUUGAACAAAGGGAUAUGUUUGUGUUUUAUGUCUCUCUUUUCACCGGGCACUGCACUUUGGACCCCAACCCUAUUAUCUGGAAAUAUGUUCAGAAACCAAACAAAAAACUCCCCAUCCCUGCUUUCUCACUUAUGCUUCAUCUCUCUGACAUCUGUAAGCAAGCCUAGGGACAUUUUCUUGGUCCAAU